GCCGGGCGCGGUGGCGGGCGCCUGUAGUCCCAGCUACUCGGGAAGCUGAGGCUGGAGGAUCGCUUGAGCUCAGGAGUUCUGGGCUGCAGUGCGCUAUGCCGAUCGGGUGUCCGCACUAAGUUCGGCAUCAAUAUGGUGACCUCCCGGGAGCGGGGGACCACCAGGUUGCCUAAGGAGGGGUGAACCGGCCCAGGUCGGAAACGGAGCAGGUCAAAACUCCCGGGCUGAUCAGUAGUGGGAUCGCGCCUGUGAAUAGCCACUGUACUCCAGCCUGGGCAACAUAGCGAGACCCCGUCUCUA
Molecule: signal recognition particle RNA, 300 nt
Filed under: Cervus hanglu yarkandensis (Yarkand deer)
Lineage: Eukaryota; Metazoa; Chordata; Mammalia; Artiodactyla; Cervidae
Description: Metazoan signal recognition particle RNA (ENSCHYG00000001074.1)
Rfam family: Metazoan signal recognition particle RNA
About the family: The signal recognition particle (SRP) is a universally conserved ribonucleoprotein. It is involved in the co-translational targeting of proteins to membranes.
Source: Rfam by way of RNAcentral